This 439-nucleotide ribosomal RNA is filed under the name uncultured bacterium. RNAcentral describes it as "partial 16S ribosomal RNA". It matches the Rfam family "Bacterial small subunit ribosomal RNA", at positions 339 to 795 of the family's 1533-position model. The record is from RNAcentral.
CUACGGGGGGCACCAGUGAGGAAUAUUGCACAAUGGGGGGAACCCUGAUGCAGCAACGCCGCGUGGAGGAUGACGCAUUUCGGUGUGUAAACUCCUUUUAUAUGUCAAGAAAAUGACGGUAGCAUAUGAAUAAGCACCGGCUAACUCCGUGCCAGCAGCCGCGGUAAUACGGAGGGUGCAAGCGUUACUCGGAAUCACUGGGCGUAAAGGACGCGUAGGCGGGUUGAAAAGUCAGGUGUGAAAUCCUACAGCUUAACUGUAGAACUGCACUUGAAACUUCUAAUCUAGAGUAUGGGAGGGGGAGAUGGAAUUAGUGGUGUAGGGGUAAAAUCCGUAGAUAUCACUAGGAAUACCUAAAGCGAAGGCGAUCUCCUGGAACAUUACUGACGCUAAGGCGUGAAAGCGUGGGGAGCAAACAGGAUUAGAUACCCAUGUAGUC